RNAcentral lists this transfer RNA (65 nucleotides) under Dipodomys ordii (Ord's kangaroo rat). It matches the Rfam family "tRNA". Rfam says of the family: Transfer RNA (tRNA) molecules are approximately 80 nucleotides in length. Their secondary structure includes four short double-helical elements and three loops (D, anti-codon, and T loops). The record is from Rfam by way of RNAcentral. Lineage: Eukaryota; Metazoa; Chordata; Mammalia; Rodentia; Heteromyidae.
GGUGGCUCAAUGGUAGAGCGCUUGCCUUGUAUGCAUGAGGCCCUGGGAUGGAUUCCUCAGCACCA